RNAcentral lists this ribosomal RNA (511 nucleotides) under Omadius cf. chapaensis NLG-2013. RNAcentral's name for it is "partial 16S ribosomal RNA". The stretch from base 388 to 511 matches the Rfam family "Bacterial large subunit ribosomal RNA", at positions 2473 to 2597 of the family's 2925-position model. The record is from RNAcentral. Lineage: Eukaryota; Metazoa; Arthropoda; Insecta; Coleoptera; Cleridae.
UGUCCUUUUGAUUAUAAUUUAAGGUCUAAUCUGCCCACUGAGGAUUUAAAUGGCCGCGGUAUUUUGACCGUGCAAAGGUAGCAUAAUAAUUAGUUUCUUAAUUAGAAGCUGGAAUGAAAGAUUGAAUGAGAAAAUAACUGUCUCAAGUUUAUUUAAUUAGAAUUUUAUUUUUAAGUUAAAAAGCUUAAAUAUUUUUAAAAGACGAGAAGACCCUAUAGAGUUUUAUUUAAUUUUUUAUUAAUUAAAAAUUGAUUUUAUAUUUAUUUAAUAGAAAAUUAAAUUUUGUUGGGGUGAUAGAAAAAUUUAAUAAACUUUUUUUAAAUUUUAACAUAAAUUAAUGAUUUAAUUGAUCCAAAAUUUUUGAUUAAAAGAUUAAAUUACCUUAGGGAUAACAGCGUAAUUUUUUUUGAGAGUUCUUAUCGAAAAAAAAGAUUGCGACCUCGAUGUUGGAUUAAAGUAAAAUUUUGGUGUAGAAGCUAGAAUUUUAGGUCUGUUCGACCUUUAAAACUUU